UACGUAGGGUGCAAGCGUUGUCCGGAUUUAUUGGGCGUAAAGAGCGUGUAGGCGGCCAUACAGGUCAGCUGUGAAAACUCGAGGCUCAACCUCGAGACGUCGGUUGAAACCGUAUGGCUAGAGUCCGGAAGAGGAGAGUGGAAUUCCCGGUGUAGCGGUGAAAUGCGCAGAUAUCGGGAAGAACACCCGUGGCGAAGGCGGCUCUCUGGGACGGUACUGACGCUGAGACGCGAAAGCGUGGGGAGCGAACAGG
Molecule: ribosomal RNA, 253 nt
Filed under: uncultured bacterium
Lineage: Bacteria
Description: partial 16S ribosomal RNA
Rfam family: Bacterial small subunit ribosomal RNA
Source: RNAcentral